Molecule: ribosomal RNA, 463 nt
Filed under: uncultured bacterium
Lineage: Bacteria
Description: bacterial SSU rRNA
Rfam family: Bacterial small subunit ribosomal RNA
Source: RNAcentral
GUACGGGAGGCAGCAGUGGGGAAUAUUGCACAAUGGGCGCAAGCCUGAUGCAGCCAUGCCGCGUGUGUGAAGAAGGCCUUCGGGUUGUAAAGCACUUUCAGCGAGGAGGAAGGCAUUAAGGUUAAUAACCUUAGUGAUUGACGUUACUCGCAGAAGAAGCACCGGCUAACUCCGUGCCAGCAGCCGCGGUAAUACGGAGGGUGCAAGCGUUAAUCGGAAUUACUGGGCGUAAAGCGCACGCAGGCGGUUUGUUAAGUCAGAUGUGAAAUCCCCGAGCUUAACUUGGGAACUGCAUUUGAAACUGGCAAGCUAGAGUCUUGUAGAGGGGGGUAGAAUUCCAGGUGUAGCGGUGAAAUGCGUAGAGAUCUGGAGGAAUACCGGUGGCGAAGGCGGCCCCCUGGACAAAGACUGACGCUCAGGUGCGAAAGCGUGGGGAGCAAACAGGAUUAGAUACCCCGGUAGG